UAAAUUAAAUGAAGCCUCUUUUCAGAAUCUCAUUCAAUUUAGAACUCCCAAAGUUCAACACUCUCAUUUUGAUGAUUCUUUGAUGAUCCUAUCUUUAUCAUGCUCAAUUACCUUGUUGGACAAAAAGUCCAUUGUGUACAAUAAUGAUAUUGUAGCGGGUAUAGUUUAGUGGUAAAAGUGUGAUUCGUUCUAUUAACCUUUUAAUAGUUAAAGGGUCUUUCAGGU
Molecule: long non-coding RNA, 225 nt
Filed under: Erythranthe guttata (spotted monkey flower)
Lineage: Eukaryota; Viridiplantae; Streptophyta; Magnoliopsida; Lamiales; Phrymaceae
Description: long non-coding RNA (EGUT_LNC002248)
Source: RNAcentral